Molecule: ribosomal RNA, 315 nt
Filed under: Lachnospiraceae bacterium OF11-28
Lineage: Bacteria; Bacillati; Bacillota; Clostridia; Lachnospirales; Lachnospiraceae
Description: bacterial SSU rRNA
Rfam family: Bacterial small subunit ribosomal RNA
Source: RNAcentral
UAACAUGAGAGUUUGAUCCUGGCUCAGGAUGAACGCUGGCGGCGUGCCUAACACAUGCAAGUCGAACGAGGUAAAUAAGAUGAAGUUUUCGGAUGAAUUCUUAUUUACCGAGUGGCGGACGGGUGAGUAACGCGUGGGUAACCUGCCUCAUACAGGGGGAUAACGAUUGGAAACGAUUGCUAAUACCGCAUAAGCGCACAGUACCACAUGGUACGGUGUGAAAAACUCCGGUGGUAUGAGAUGGACCCGCGUCUGAUUAGCUAGUUGGUGGGGUAACGGCCCACCAAGGCGACGAUCAGUAGCCGACCUGAGAGG